GGUAUAUAAAACAUCACAUUUCCCAGAUUUUGUAGUGCUGAAUUUGGUUUUCAGUUGAUCAUGUAAGUGAUUAUGUGAGUCACUAACAAGAGUCUUAUGGGAAAUGUACAUCAGGUAACAUAUGCCCUUCAUACCCCUUAUGUAUUCACAGGAAAAUGCUUUCGAUAGCAGUCAUAUGUACUAGCUUUCCAUCGACCGUAGUAUUCACCUAUGUGUCAAUUAGAUAGGGUUGGUUCUUCGUUUUUUUGUGUGUUUUCACUUCAUCAUACUGAAUCUUGAUUUAAAAUUCACAAAUCAGAUUUUCAGUCAUAUGUUUUAGUUCCAAAUGUUCAUUCUGAGGAAUUCCCAGAUUUUGUAAAUACUUUGACGUCUUUUUAUGCAAGUCGAUUUGAAGUUUCCAGAUGCAAUAACAUUGAAAACUGUUUCUCUUUUAGUUUUUUUUUCUCAAGCAUACUUUU
This 458-nucleotide long non-coding RNA is filed under the name Brassica napus (rape). RNAcentral describes it as "long non-coding RNA (BNAP_LNC006729)". The record is from RNAcentral. Lineage: Eukaryota; Viridiplantae; Streptophyta; Magnoliopsida; Brassicales; Brassicaceae.